ACGCUGGCGGCGUGCCUAAUACAUGCAAGUCGAACGCACGGCGAAAGGUGCUUGCACCUUUCAAGUGAGUGGCGAACGGGUGAGUAACACGUGGACAACCUGCCUCAAGGCUGGGGAUAACAUUUGGAAACAGAUGCUAAUACCGAAUAAAACUUAGUGUCGCAUGACACAAAGUUAAAAGGCGCUUCGGCGUCACCUAGAGAUGGAUCCGCGGUGCAUUAGUUAGUUGGUGGGGUAAAGGCCUACCAAGACAAUGAUGCAUAGCCGAGUUGAGAGACUGAUCGGCCACAUUGGGACUGAGACACGGCCCAAACUCCUACGGGAGGCUGCAGUAGGGAAUCUUCCACAAUGGGCGAAAGCCUGAUGGAGCAACGCCGCGUGUGUGAUGAAGGCUUUCGGGUCGUAAAGCACUGUUGUAUGGGAAGAACAGCUAGAAUAGGAAAUGAUUUUAGUUUGACGGUACCAUACCAGAAAGGGACGGCUAAAUACGUGCCAGCAGCCGCGGUAAUACGUAUGUCCCGAGCGUUAUCCGGAUUUAUUGGGCGUAAAGCGAGCGCAGACGGUUUAUUAAGUCUGAUGUGAAGGCCCGGAGCUCAACUCCGGAAUGGCAUUGGAAACUGGUUAACUUGAGUGCAGUAGAGGUAAGUGGAACUCCAUGUGUAGCGGUGGAAUGCGUAGAUAUAUGGAAGAACACCAGUGGCGAAGGCGGCUUACUGGACUGCAACUGACGUUGAGGCUCGAAAGUGUGGGUAGCAAAC
RNAcentral lists this ribosomal RNA (758 nucleotides) under uncultured bacterium. Its description in RNAcentral is "bacterial SSU rRNA". It matches the Rfam family "Bacterial small subunit ribosomal RNA", at positions 33 to 773 of the family's 1533-position model. The record is from RNAcentral.